GAUGAACGCUGGCGGCGUGCCUAAUACAUGCAAGUCGAGCGAACAGAUGAGGAGCUUGCUCCUCUGACGUUAGCGGCGGACGGGUGAGUAACACGUGGAUAACCUACCUAUAAGACUGGGAUAACUUCGGGAAACCGGAGCUAAUACCGGAUAAUAUAUUGAACCGCAUGGUUCAAUAGUGAAAGACGGUUUUGCUGUCACUUAUAGAUGGAUCCGCGCCGCAUUAGCUAGUUGGUACGGUAACGGCUUACCAAGGCAACGAUGCGUAGCCGACGUGAGAGGGUGAUCGGCGACACUGGAGCUGAGACACGGUCCAGACUCCUACGGGAGGCAGCAGUAGGGAAUCUUCGGCAAUGGGCGAAAGCCUGGCGGAGCAACGCCGCGUGAGUGAUGAAGGUCUUCGGAUCGUAAAACUCUGUUAUUAGGGAAGAACAAAUGUGUAAGGAAAUAUACACGUCUUGACGGUACCUAAUCAGAAAGCCACGGCUAACUACGUG
This 497-nucleotide ribosomal RNA is filed under the name uncultured bacterium. RNAcentral's name for it is "partial 16S ribosomal RNA". It matches the Rfam family "Bacterial small subunit ribosomal RNA", at positions 28 to 507 of the family's 1533-position model. The record is from RNAcentral.